Molecule: ribosomal RNA, 887 nt
Filed under: uncultured bacterium
Lineage: Bacteria
Description: bacterial SSU rRNA
Rfam family: Bacterial small subunit ribosomal RNA
Source: RNAcentral
AGAGUUUGAUCAUGGCUCAGGACGAACGCUGGCGGCGUGCCUAAUACAUGCAAGUCGAGCGGACCAAUUAGAAAGCUUGCUUUUUAAUUGGUUAGCGGCGGACGGGUGAGUAACACGUGGGUAACCUGCCCUAUAGACCGGGAUAACUCGCGGAAACGCGUGCUAAUACCGGAUAACACACCGAAGCGCAUGCUUCGGGGUUGAAAGAUGGUUCUGCUAUCACUAUAGGAUGGGCCCGCGGCGCAUUAGCUAGUUGGUGGGGUAACGGCCUACCAAGGCGACGAUGCGUAGCCGACCUGAGAGGGUGAUCGGCCACACUGGGACUGAGACACGGCCCAGACUCCUACGGGAGGCAGCAGUAGGGAAUCUUCCACAAUGGGCGAAAGCCUGAUGGAGCAACGCCGCGUGAGCGAAGAAGGUCUUCGGAUCGUAAAGCUCUGUUGUAAGGGAAGAACAAGCGCAGCAGUCACUGGCUGCGCCCUGACGGUACCUUACUAGAAAGCCACGGCUAACUACGUGCCAGCAGCCGCGGUAAUACGUAGGUGGCAAGCGUUGUCCGGAAUUAUUGGGCGUAAAGCGCGCGCAGGCGGUCUCUUAAGUCUGAUGUGAAAGCCCCCGGCUCAACCGGGGAGGGUCAUUGGAAACUGGGAGACUUGAGUGCAGGAGAGGGAAGUGGAAUUCCAUGUGUAGCGGUGAAAUGCGUAGAGAUAUGGAGGAACACCAGUGGCGAAGGCGGCUUCCUGGCCUGUAACUGACGCUGAGGCGCGAAAGCGUGGGGAGCAAACAGGAUUAGAUACCCUGGUAGUCCACGCCGUAAACGAUGAGUGCUAGGUGUUAGGGGGUUUCCGCCCCUUAGUGCUGCAGCUAACGCAUUAAGCACUCCGCCU